RNAcentral lists this non-coding RNA (956 nucleotides) under Trichys fasciculata (long-tailed porcupine). Its description in RNAcentral is "12S ribosomal RNA". It matches the Rfam family "Bacterial small subunit ribosomal RNA". The record is from RNAcentral. Lineage: Eukaryota; Metazoa; Chordata; Mammalia; Rodentia; Hystricidae.
CAAAGGUUUGGUCCUAGCCUUUUCAUUAAUUAUCAGCAAACUUACACAUGCAAGAAUCCCCCUUCCGGUGAAAAUGCCCUCUAAAUCUAUCAUAGAUUAAAAGGAGCGGGUAUCAAGCACACUCUAAAGUAGCUCACCACACCUUGCUCAGCCACAUCCCCACGGAAACACAGCAGUGAUAAAAAUUAAGCUAUAAACGAAAGUUCGACUUAGUUAUGCUGCAACAGAGUUGGUAAAAUUCGUGCCAGCCACCGCGGUCAUACGACUAACCCAAAUUAAUGAAACAACGGCGUAAAACGUGUUUUAGAGAUAAAAAUAAUAAGAUUAAGUUUUACCUAAGUCGUAAAAAACUCCAGGUAAACAUAAAACCAGUAUGCGAAAGCAAUCUCAACUCCUCUGAACACACGACACCUAAGACCCAAACUGGGAUUAGAUACCCCACUAUGCUUAGUCGUAAAAAUAAAAAAUUAAUAACAAAAUUUUUUGCCAGAGAACUACGAGCAACAGCUCAAAACUCAAAGGACUUGGCGGUGCUUCACAACCAUCUAGAGGAGCCUGUUCUAUAACCGAUACUCCCCGAUAAACCUUACCACUUCUUGCUAAUUCAGCCUAUAUACCGCCAUCUUCAGCAAACCCUAAUAAGGAAAAGGAGUAAGCACAAGCACAGACAUAAACACGUUAGGUCAAGGUGUAGCCCAUGGAGUGGAAAGAAAUGGGCUACAUUUUCUGACAAAGAACACCCACGAUAAUCUUUAUGAAAUUUAAAGAUCCAAGGAGGAUUUAGUAGUAAAUUAAGAAUAGAGUGCUUAAUUGAAUUAGGCCAUGAAGCACGCACACACCGCCCGUCACCCUCCUCAAAUUACUAUAUAACAACCAUACAUUAAUACCACGUAAGCAAGUAUUAGAGGAGACAAGUCGUAACAAGGUAAGCAUACUGGAAAGUGUGCUUGGAUAAA